ACGGUUAAAUCACGCUGAAACACCGGUUCUCGUUCGAUCACCGAACUUAAAAGAUUCGUAGAGCCAGGUCAGUAUAAUGGGGGGACCGCUUGGGAACACCUGGUACUGUAA
Non-coding RNA from Acanthosepion pharaonis, 111 nucleotides. Lineage: Eukaryota; Metazoa; Mollusca; Cephalopoda; Sepiida; Sepiidae. The record is from the annotation of a GenBank genome assembly.